RNAcentral lists this long non-coding RNA (906 nucleotides) under Triticum aestivum (bread wheat). RNAcentral's name for it is "long non-coding RNA (TAES_LNC027667)". The stretch from base 346 to 480 matches the Rfam family "MIR1120/MIR1122 microRNA precursor family". The record is from RNAcentral. Lineage: Eukaryota; Viridiplantae; Streptophyta; Magnoliopsida; Poales; Poaceae.
GACCAGUACUUCCAGAUCGAACAGGCUCCCAUUUGUUUUGCAUAAUCCGAGGUGCGGACCGAUUUGUGGAUGGUUAUCCUGGUGCUGGACAGCCAGUAGAACAAACUGCAAAUUUUCUCGAGGCUUGCAUUCUACUCCUGAUCAAUUGGCAUUGCCCCUCAUGCAAUUGCUUGUGGAAAUGCAAUGCUCCACCCACGCCCUUGGACCUUCUACGGAGGAAUUACCCGGCCCUGUUUGUGACAAUGGUGUGACAAUGCCAGAUUCUUAACCAGAUGUGGUUCAGAGUACACCAACGAUGGUCAGCAUGUUCUGCAUCGUUGGCAUGGUUCAGGUCGGUUGUUUAGUCAAAUACUCCCACCGUCUCAAAAUUCUUGUCUUACAUUUGUCUAAAUACGGAUGUAUCAAGUCACGUUUUGGUAUUAGAUACAUUCGUAUCUACACAAAUCUAAGACAAGAAUUUUGGGACGGAGGGAGUAUAAAGAAUGACCGCCAUCUUUUGCAUCAGGAAAGGGCUGAUGGAAGGGCAAAGGAAAAUUUUGACCGUGAUGCUGAGCCGUAUGUUCAUGGGUGCACGUAAAUUUUAGAGUUUAUUAGAUUCCACUGGUGUUAGUCGAUUUUGAAGGCGAUUUUGUAUUCUUGUCAUUGGAAUCGUUACAUUCCUGCUGCUAUCAACUAUUUUUGCCAUUCUGGUGCACUUAUUCGUUGCCAGGAUAGCAAGAUCAGGCACACCAGGAAUGCAGCGGCGUCAGGUUGCGAUAUAUACUGUCCGUUGUUGGUUGAGCUCAGUGUGAUCUAUGCUUUGUUGCAACAGCACCCCCCGGCUUCAUACUGGGUGCUGCGCUUACUGACAGCUACUGUAAACAAUUUCCUAACCCACAAAUUGUUGCCGAGUAUACUUCUUAAUAC